CUCUAUUGGAAGCAAGCUGCCUGAGGCUAUUUUAAGUGCUCUCCUUUCUCCUCCAGGAAUUGGAAUCUGCCCAGCUGAGCCCCAGACGCCGGAGGGGUCCCGGGGGUCAGUCAGCCCUGCGCCACCCUCCGGUUCCUCUUCUGGCCAUACAAGGAAGUCCAGUGCGGGGAUGACUAAGCAGCUGACCUGGGGGGAGAGCAGCCCUGGAGCGGAGGCAGGACUGGCCUCUCCUGCCAGCCAUCAGCCCCUGUGGGCUUGUCCUGUGGUGAAAAGUCCCAGGCCUCCCACCAGGGAGCACCUGACCUCUCUGCUCCCUGAGAGGAGUGAAAAUGUUAAAAGUUCCCAGAUCCCAGGGACUUUUAGGCUGCUCCCACCACAGAGCUGGCCAGCGCAGAGAAAUGCUAGGGCUCUCUUUGGUUUCACUAUGCAAGCUGACUCUCCCCACCUGAUGAGCCAGUGGGAUUAG
RNAcentral lists this long non-coding RNA (466 nucleotides) under Piliocolobus tephrosceles (Ugandan red Colobus). RNAcentral describes it as "lncRNA (ENSPTEG00000006566.1)". The record is from RNAcentral. Lineage: Eukaryota; Metazoa; Chordata; Mammalia; Primates; Cercopithecidae.